AUUGAACGCUGGCGGCAGGCUUAACACAUGCAAGUCGAGCGGGGUGAUGGUGCUUGCACUAUCACUUAGCGGCGGACGGGUGAGUAAUGCUUAGGAAUCUGCCUAUUAGUGGGGGACAACAUCUCGAAAGGGAUGCUAAUACCGCAUACGUCCUACGGGAGAAAGCAGGGGAUCUUCGGACCUUGCGCUAAUAGAUGAGCCUAAGUCGGAUUAGCUAGUUGGUGGGGUAAAGGCCUACCAAGGCGACGAUCUGUAGCGGGUCUGAGAGGAUGAUCCGCCACACUGGGACUGAGACACGGCCCAGACUCCUACGGGAGACAGCAGUGGGGAAUAUUGGACAAUGGGGGGAACCCUGAUCCAGCCAUGCCGCGUGUGUGAAGAAGGCCUUAUGGUUGUAAAGCACUUUAAGCGAGGAGGAGGCUACUGAGACUAAUACUCUUGGAUAGUGGACGUUACUCGCAGAAUAAGCACCGGCUAACUCUGUGCCAGCCGCCGCCGUAA
RNAcentral lists this ribosomal RNA (501 nucleotides) under uncultured bacterium. RNAcentral's name for it is "partial 16S ribosomal RNA". It matches the Rfam family "Bacterial small subunit ribosomal RNA", at positions 30 to 523 of the family's 1533-position model. The record is from RNAcentral.